UACGUAGGUGGCAAGCGUUACUCGGAAUCACUAGGCGUAAAGCGCAGGUAGGUGGUGGGAUAAGUCUAUUGUGAAAGCUCCUGGCUUAACUGGGAGAGGUCAAUGGAAACUGUCUUGCUAGAGUAUGGCAGGGGAAACUGGAAUUCCCGGAGUAGCGGUGAAAUGCGUAGAUAUCGGGAGGAAUACCGAUGGCGAAAGCAGGUUUCUGGGCCAUAACUGACACUAAGCUGCGAAAGCUAGGGGAGCAAAC
RNAcentral lists this ribosomal RNA (250 nucleotides) under uncultured bacterium. RNAcentral's name for it is "partial 16S ribosomal RNA". It matches the Rfam family "Bacterial small subunit ribosomal RNA", at positions 524 to 773 of the family's 1533-position model. The record is from RNAcentral.